This 460-nucleotide ribosomal RNA is filed under the name uncultured bacterium. RNAcentral's name for it is "partial 16S ribosomal RNA". It matches the Rfam family "Bacterial small subunit ribosomal RNA", at positions 338 to 795 of the family's 1533-position model. The record is from RNAcentral.
CCUACGGUAGGCUGCAGUGAGGAAUAUUGGUCAAUGGACGAGAGUCUGAACCAGCCAAGUAGCGUGAAGGAUGACUGCCCUAUGGGUUGUAAACUUCUUUUAUAAAGGAAUAAAACGCGGCACGUGUGCCUUUUUGCAUGUACUUUAUGAAUAAGGAUCGGCUAACUCCGUGCCAGCAGCCGCGGUAAUACGGAGGAUCCGAGCGUUAUCCGGAUUUAUUGGGUUUAAAGGGAGCGUAGAUGGGUUGUUAAGUCAGUUGUGAAAGUUUGCGGCUCAACCGUAAAAUUGCAAUUGAUACUGGCAGUCUUGAGUACAGUUGAGGUAAGCGGAAUGCGUGGUGUAGCGGUGAAAUGCUUAGAUAUCACGAAGAACCCCGAUUGCGAAGGCAGCUUACUAAACUGUGACUGACAUUGAUGCACGAAAGUGUGGGUAUCAAACAGGAUUAGAUACCCGAGUAGUC